AGAGUUGAUCAUCGGCUCAGGACGAACGCUGGCGGCGUGCCUAACACAUGCAAGUCGAACGGACGAGGGGAGCUUGCUCCCCGAGUUAGUGGCGAACGGGUGAGUAACGCGUGAGCAACCUGCCUUUCAGAGGGGGACAACGGUUGGAAACGACCGCUAAUACCGCAUGAAACAUUCUGACCGCAUGAUCGGGAUGUCAAAGAUUUAUCGCUGAAAGAUGGGCUCGCGUCUGAUUAGAUAGUUGGUGGGGUAACGGCCUACCAAGUCGACGAUCAGUAGCCGGACUGAGAGGUUGAACGGCCACAUUGGGACUGAGAUACGGCCCAGACUCCUACGGGAGGCAGCAGUGGGGAAUAUUUGGGGCAAUGGGGGAAACCCUGACCCAGCAACGCCGCGUGAAGGAAGAAGGCUUUCGGGUUGUAAACUUCUUUUACCGAGGACGAAGAACGUGACGGUACUCGGAGAAAAAGCCACGGCUAACUACGUGCCAGCAGCCGC
This 498-nucleotide ribosomal RNA is filed under the name uncultured bacterium. RNAcentral describes it as "bacterial SSU rRNA". It matches the Rfam family "Bacterial small subunit ribosomal RNA", at positions 8 to 518 of the family's 1533-position model. The record is from RNAcentral.